Molecule: unclassified non-coding RNA, 501 nt
Filed under: Hevea brasiliensis (rubber tree)
Lineage: Eukaryota; Viridiplantae; Streptophyta; Magnoliopsida; Malpighiales; Euphorbiaceae
Source: RNAcentral
UGACUGUGUUCUUGCUGUGCUCUAAAUUCUUUGGAUCUUGUGUGAUCUCUGUAUUGAUCUAUGAACUACUUCUGAUAAAGCGAGGAACAGAGGAAAGAAUAAACUAGAUAAUAAAUUGUAACUUGAAUUACUAUUAAGUAAUGAUCAGUGUCUUUACAAUAAUAACUCUCAAAUACAAUCACCUCUCUUCUUCUAUCAAACAACAAAGGAAGAAAGAAAACCCCAAACACUCAAUUCCAGGAGUCAAAUCCCAUAGUAGCAUAGCUAGUCACAGCAAUAGCCAAAAGAAAAUAAUACGAAGCCUCCCCUCACUCAAUGAGCACUUAUUUAAAACAUUCCCUGCUGCUACUCUUUCUCACGUGAAUCGGCUCCCACAUUUGUAGCUAACAGACUUCCUUUCCGUUGCUCACCCUCCCGCUGUAUUGUUCUAGAGACUUCCUUCUCAGGUUCUAGAAGCAUCUUCUUAAUUAUUCUGGAAUACAUUGGGCCUUUAGUUGAGUA